This is a non-coding RNA of Salmo salar (Atlantic salmon), 54 nucleotides long. Lineage: Eukaryota; Metazoa; Chordata; Actinopteri; Salmoniformes; Salmonidae. The record is from Rfam.
UGCAUUCACUUCUGUAAGUCACUCUGGAUAAGAGUGUCUGCUAAAUGACUAAAA